RNAcentral lists this microRNA precursor (84 nucleotides) under Chelydra serpentina (North American snapping turtle). RNAcentral's name for it is "mir-449a". It matches the Rfam family "mir-449 microRNA precursor family". The record is from RNAcentral. Lineage: Eukaryota; Metazoa; Chordata; Testudines; Chelydridae.
GUGUGUGCUAGGAAGGCAGUGUAUUGUUAGCUGGUUGAAAAUCUGACACCAGCUAACUUACACCUGCUACCUUAUUGCACAUAC